Molecule: ribosomal RNA, 252 nt
Filed under: uncultured bacterium
Lineage: Bacteria
Description: partial 16S ribosomal RNA
Rfam family: Bacterial small subunit ribosomal RNA
Source: RNAcentral
UACAGAGGGGGCAAGCGUUGUUCGGAAUUACUGGGCGUAAAGGGCGCGUAGGCGGCCCGCUAAGUCGAACGUGAAAUCCCUGGGCUCAACCAGGAACUGCGUCCGAUACUGGCAGGCUUGAAUCCGGGAGAGGGAUGCGGAAUUCCAGGUGUAGCGGUGAAAUGCGUAGAUAUCUGGAGGAACACCGGUGGCGAAGGCGGCAUCCUGGACCGGCAUUGACGCUGAGGCGCGAAAGCCAGGGGAGCAAACGGG